GCAGGUGUCAGCAUUGUCGGUGGAGCAGGUGGUAGCAGAGGGCAGCGGCGGCACAUGGGCAAGGGUUAAAAGACCUAGGUGGCUAGGGUUUCUUUUUUUUUUAUUUGGUGUUGGGCUGCUGUAGGGCUUAAUUGGGUAUUGGGAUAGGUUUAGAUUUGGGCCUUUUGGGUGUGGAUUAUUUAUUUUAUUUUAUUGUUUUUGUUUUGGCACUAGGCCCGGGAAAAUUUGGGCUUGUACAUCAAUCAUUAUGGCUAAAAGCACCAUCAACAUUGAUUUUAAUCUAGCCUUCUAGUGGCUUCACCCAAUGAUUAAGCAUAGGUACAAAAGUCGCAAUGUUAAUCUCCUUGCUAGCUUGAGCAAAAAUGCAUUCAUGUG
RNAcentral lists this long non-coding RNA (375 nucleotides) under Gossypium raimondii (Peruvian cotton). Its description in RNAcentral is "long non-coding RNA (GRAI_LNC002941)". Lineage: Eukaryota; Viridiplantae; Streptophyta; Magnoliopsida; Malvales; Malvaceae. The record is from RNAcentral.